GGGGAAUAUUGCACAAUGGGCGGAAGCCUGAUGCAGCAACGCCGCGUGAGGGAUGACGGCCUUCGGGUUGUAAACCUCUUUUAGCAGGGAAGAAGCGAAAGUGACGGUACCUGCAGAAAAAGCGCCGGCUAACUACGUGCCAGCAGCCGCGGUAAUACGUAGGGCGCAAGCGUUAUCCGGAAUUAUUGGGCGUAAAGAGCUCGUAGGCGGUUUGUCGCGUCUGCUGUGAAAUCCGGGGGCUCAACCUCCGGCCUGCAGUGGGUACGGGCAGACUAGAGUGCGGUAGGGGAGAUUGGAAUUCCUGGUGUAGCGGUGGAAUGCGCAGAUAUCAGGAGGAACACCGAUGGCGAAGGCAGAUCUCUGGGCCGUAACUGACGCUGAGGAGCGAAAGGGUGGGGAGCAAAC
This 405-nucleotide ribosomal RNA is filed under the name uncultured bacterium. Its description in RNAcentral is "bacterial SSU rRNA". It matches the Rfam family "Bacterial small subunit ribosomal RNA", at positions 356 to 773 of the family's 1533-position model. The record is from RNAcentral.